AUUGAACGCUGGCGGCAGGCCUAACACAUGCAAGUCGAGCGGAUGAAGGGAGCUUGCUCCUGGAUUCAGCGGCGGACGGGUGAGUAAUGCCUAGGAAUCUGCCUGGUAGUGGGGGAUAACGUCCGGAAACGGGCGCUAAUACCGCAUACGUCCUGAGGGAGAAAGUGGGGGAUCUUCGGACCUCACGCUAUCAGAUGAGCCUAGGUCGGAUUAGCUAGUUGCUGGGGUAAAGGCCUACCAAGGCGACGAUCCGUAACUGGUCUGAGAGGAUGAUCAGUCACACUGGAACUGAGACACGGUCCAGACUCCUACGGGAGGCAGCAGUGGGGAAUAUUGGACAAUGGGCGAAAGCCUGAUCCAGCCAUGCCGCGUGUGUGAAGAAGGUCUUCGGAUUGUAAAGCACUUUAAGAUGGGAGGAAGGGCAGUAAGUUAAUACCUUGCUGUUUUGACGUUACCAACAGAAUAAGCACCGGCUAACUUCGUG
RNAcentral lists this ribosomal RNA (484 nucleotides) under uncultured bacterium. Its description in RNAcentral is "partial 16S ribosomal RNA". It matches the Rfam family "Bacterial small subunit ribosomal RNA", at positions 30 to 507 of the family's 1533-position model. The record is from RNAcentral.